UGGAAAACAAGUGGUCGAGACGGCCCCCGUUCGUCUGACGAUACCAGUACACACUCUGUGUGGAGAUGGAAAAAUUGCACCAGAGCGUGGAGCUGGCUCCCUCCUGGAGACUCAGGGCUGGGGGACUCUGCUCCACAUCCACUCCUCUCACACCUGAUGGGAAACAGAGAAACAGUCACAGAAGAGAAUGCUGUUUCCAGAUGAAGCAGCCCCCUCUUGUGACUGAAUAAAUGAACUGCAGCGCUAAACCCAGGGCAAAAGUCAGCCCGCAAUCUUUUCAAGGACUCUUCAGAUUUGAAGGUAAACAUCUUACUUGUAACACCUUUUUACUCAUCUGUGUUUUCUUGUUCCUAUAACACCGCACAGAAGGUUUUAAUUGUUUUUAUUGCUUUAUUUCAGUCAAAUGAUUCUCAGUUGUUGGCUUCUCUUUCAAUUUUCCCUUUCUAACUUCCCAUAUUUAAAGGUUACUUUCAAAGCCCAAGAAUUACCUGUUCCUGAAGGAGUACCUCAGUUAUUUAUGAAUUUAGUGACAGAAUUUAUGCUGAGCAUCUCUUUAAAUAAUUCUAAAAACAAUCUCCCAGGUUUAUGGAAGAUAUAUGAAAUAAAUGACACCAACAGGACAAAUAUAGGGUUGUAUUUGUGGACAAAAUGCAAGAGCAGACAACAAACUUCCCGCCUAAGAUGGAGGAAAAUUAGAUUGAAUUAGACAUUUACAGGAGUAAAUGUCAUGGUAAUCAUGCUUUAUUCAUUUAAUAAGUAUUCGUAAAUAUUCACCGGGAGCCUGUUCUGUGGAAACACACACACAGAUAAGCCAACAAGUACUACUGCUGAAAGUAUUUAAACAGGUAAGAAUGUAUAAUAUUAUUAUAUUAGCAAAAAGCAGAAAAAAAGUAAUUAACAGUAACUUUUUUGAUUACUGAUUUCUUUCCCUUAUUUUUUAGAGGAUGCUCGAAACCACUACAAAGUGUCAUUUUAAAUAACAACUGAAAGACAAAAAUACUCUUUAUGAAGACUCUAAACCAUGCUUGUCUAGUCUAUUGGCUCUUUUCAGAGCUUUGAAUUUUAGAGGGUCAUAUCUCUAAAACUAUGUGAAAUGAGGUUAUCUUUCUUUGCUUGAUGAAAACUAAAAUAACGUACAUAAACCUCUCAGAAAAUUGAGAGAAUCUGACAAAAUGCUAACACCUCUGCAUGAUGGAUACUCUCAAAAAUCCAGAAAUAGAAGAGAAAUUCCUGGAUCUGAUAAAGGCUAUCAAUGAAGAAGAUAUUACAAGUCCUUCUCUAUAGGGUCACAAACAAGACAGGUAAACCAUCACUACUCCAUGUCACUGUCCUACCAGAGGGCCUGGCAUCAAAUGAGGAGAAAACAUAAAAUGAACUAAGUUUGAAGACUGAGAAGUAAACCAUUUUUAUCCAGAGAUAUUAACAUUUGCAGAAAAUAAAAAAGUACCUCUAAACAAACCAAAAGAACUAGUACUAAUAGAUGAAUUAACAAGGUCGCUAAACAUAGAAAUCAAUUUUAUUUCUACAUUCUAGUCAAAAGCAUUAGAAAGUAUAAUCAAAAUGCCAUUUAUCAAAUGCUUGGGGACUAAUUUAAUACAAGGCAUGCAAGUCCUCUACAAAAAUUUUAACCUUAAUAAAAGAAAUUAGAGAGGACGUAUGUUAAAAAAAAGAGAGUAUCACAUGAAUCUAAAGACUUUGUGUGUUAAGAUACCUAUUGUCUUAAAUGAAUCCAUAAAUUCAACACAAUCCCAAUCAAAUCACUAGCAACCUUUUCUGUGUUAGAAGCUAAUUCUCUAACUCACAUGAAUGUGCAAAGACCUCGCGUAAGCCUUGAAUAAUAAGAAGAAAGCAUGACUUGCAUUUCCAGAUUUCAAAAAUAUAUGAAGCUUACACAUCUGUGAUUUUGAAGCUCCGAGGAGAGACCACGUGCAGGGGCCAUGAUCAUCCCUGAGUACGGCUGCAGUGAGAGAUGAGCCUGGCCCUCUGUGGUUGCAGCGGAGCCCUUGACACGUGAGUCAGUGAUUUGAGGGGUUCCAGGGCUGUGGGGUCCCCAGAAGUCACAUGAAGCGGACGGACCAUGAGAUAAUGAAACAGUAGCUGUUUGAAGCCACUGAGUUUUGGGGUGCUUUGUGAUGCUGCAAAACCCAAUGCCUCUGAAGUCCUGUAAAGGAGUCUUGCUGAGGACUUGAGAGAAACUGGCAAGAAUAAAACCGCUUUUCUCCUCUCUCUGAUUUCUGAUUAUCUCUGAUAUCUGGACCUGGAACAUCUGUCUGUCUCACUAGACUUCAUUUCACAGAUGGCUGAUAUGGCCAUAGCACUCCUGCCCUGGCACAGAAGAGGAGCUGGUGGUGCUCAGAUGUGAUGGGAGCCUGGGGCCCCCACGGCACAGGAGCCGGUGGCUGGAUGCUCAGGUUGGGGCCCUACAGAAAACAGGGAGAUGUAAGCUUUUCUUGUCCAAUGUGAUUUGUAUAUUUCACCCAUUCUUCUCACUCCAUGUGACAAAACUCUAAAAAAUGAGGGGCUAUUUAAAAGGUCAUGCCUGUGUCUCUAUGAAUAAUCAAAAUUUAACAGACUAUUUUCAAUUUCAGAUCCAUUUGAGAAGCCAAGAAAAUUUCCUUAGUUAUGCAUGACUUUAAUUUUCUGGUAAGGACUCUCCACUCCAAAUGAACAUCCCCCUCAUGUUUAUAACAGUAGAUUUUCCAAAUUAUGUGCCACUGCAUCCAGGAAUUGGAUUAUGUGUGUGGGAAGAGCUUUAUCCCAUCACCUCGAAGGCAAGCAUGAGGCCCAGGGAACUUGCCAUCAUGAAUCCGUUUGAAGCAGCACUCUACAUGAUGGGCUGUGUAAACAUCAUCGGUUUCUAUACGUUCAGUGUUGUGAAAAGGCUGUGAAGCAUUGUGUGGCAGCAAUGCCCAGAUGAGCCAUAUUUCAUCCUUGCUGUUUUUCUCUGCCUUUUGUUUCUACCAAUCCAGAGGUAGCUAAAGCCAGAGAUCAUUACUGAUAGUAUUAAGAAAUCUCCUUCCUCGGUCUUUCUGUCAAUAAUGUAGGAUACUCAGCUUGGAAGUUGACCAGCACCUCUUCUUUGGUGUUGUUCUACACCAUUGACCUUAGUGUGCAGGGAACUACAGGUUCUCCUCACUCAGUCCCGUGCUAUACCUUCUGCUUCUACACACCGUCACAACCACUCCCCGUCUGAUGAUAAGUAGAUCCAUUGCAUCCUUGUAAAUAACCUUUGAAAAAUAAAUCUGUAUCUCUUAAA
This is a non-coding RNA of Sus scrofa (pig), 3256 nucleotides long. Lineage: Eukaryota; Metazoa; Chordata; Mammalia; Artiodactyla; Suidae. The record is from RefSeq and is a predicted model, not a curated record.